Molecule: long non-coding RNA, 1501 nt
Organism: Homo sapiens (human)
Lineage: Eukaryota; Metazoa; Chordata; Mammalia; Primates; Hominidae
Exons: 5
Source: RefSeq, a predicted model, not a curated record
ACAGAGCGAGACUCCGUCUCAAAAAAGCAAAACAAAAGAAAACCCUCACUGUGCAUCCUCUGCAGACUGGCCAGAACCACUUGAAAGUCAGUGGUCUCUUAUCAGAAAGGAAUGCUUGUUGAUUGUUGUGCAAAAACUACAAAAGGGAGAGACUGUGUCAGGCAGGCAGUUGAUAUCAAUAGUGGAUAUAGCCUUUCCAAAGGGCUAGUUGGUUUAACUCUUGGGAAAGAAAGCAAAGGAGGAGGUAGAGUGAGGCUCGUCUAACCUCUCCUCCUGUCAUGGCAGGGAACUCAGUUUUCAAGGUUUCUUGAGGUGGUCCUCUUGGACAAGAGGGGAUCUGUUCACUUGGGGGGCUUAGGAUUUCAUUUUUAGGUCUCAGUAUGUAUUAAAAAACCCACAGAGUAUAUAGAGUUUAGUACUAUCUGUGGUUUCAGGCAUCCACUGAGAGUCUAGGAAUGUAUCCCCCUCAGAUAAGGAGAUACUACUGUAAAUAUAAUCAUAUAAUUUAAGUAUAUUCUGUUCAAUUUCUUUCAUAUACCAUAAUGUUUUAAAAUAUUUAGUUGUUUUUUUGUUAGCCUUAUAUAGUAUAUGUAUGCUACAAUUUGUUCAUUUACUAGUUGAUAGUUCAAAUGUUCUGUAUUUUAGUAUCAAGAAUGAUGCUGCUAUGAACAUUUAUGUACAACUCUUUGGAUGAAUAUAUGCUAUCUUUUCUCUUUGCAAGAGUAGCUCAGAGAACUCAAGAAAACUGUUUACUCACAUUAACCCUGUACUGCAAAAGUUACAGAUGAAGAGCCAGAUGAAAGAGAUCCAUGAGGCAAGACAUCGAGUCAUGAAUAUGGAAUGACUUCACCUGACUUCACUUGAAAUUCACUUAAUUUUCAACUCUGUUGGCUAUGAGAAAAGGACAUCCAGGCCUCACACAAAAAUGGAUCAAUGAAUUGAAACUCACCAAAUCACCACCACCAGACAACGGGAUGCUGAGUCUCAUUCAUCAUGAUUGCUUCCUGAAGCCUUCUGAGUUCCUGUUUCCCUACACAUUGUUACAUUUCUUCCCUGCAACAUAAACCCCCAAUUUUAGUCCAUCAAGGUUAUAGAUUUGAGACUGAUCUCCCAUUUCCUUGGCUGCAACACCCAAUUAUAGCCUUCUUGGCAAUAAUUGUUGUCUCAGUGAUUGGCUUUCUUUGUGGCCAGCAGCAGGACCUAGACUGAACACCUGAUUUUCUGGUCUCUCAAAACAGAAUUUUGGCUUUUCCAGAUUGGCAAAUAGCUCUUAGUUAAAUGUGGCUUUCAAGUAUGUGUUUACUCCUUUAUGUUUCAAUUUUCCUUCAAUUUUGGCCUGGAGAGUGUCUCAACUAAGAAGCUAAAAAGGGAAAGAAAAGAAAAGCAGUUAUGUUUUUUUCCCCUCCGGCCUAUACAAACACAUACACACCAAGGUGAGAAAUGCCUUUCUUCAUCAGUACCAUCUGGGUCAAUAUGUAAUGUUUUGUGUGGCUGAGACCUA